UACGAAGGGGGCUAGCGUUGUUCGGAAUCACUGGGCGUAAAGCGCACGUAGGCGGAUCUUUAAGUCAGGGGUGAAAUCCCGAGGCUCAACCUCGGAACUGCCUUUGAUACUGGGGAUCUCGAGUCCGGGAGAGGUGAGUGGAAUUGCGAGUGUAGAGGUGAAAUUCGUAGAUAUUCGCAAGAACACCAGUGGCGAAGGCGGACUCACUGGCCCGGUACUGACGCUGAGGUGCGAAAGCGUGGGGAGCAAACAGG
RNAcentral lists this ribosomal RNA (254 nucleotides) under uncultured bacterium. Its description in RNAcentral is "partial 16S ribosomal RNA". It matches the Rfam family "Bacterial small subunit ribosomal RNA", at positions 524 to 776 of the family's 1533-position model. The record is from RNAcentral.